GACGAACGUUGGCGGCGUGCUUAAUACAUGCAAGUCAACUGAACCAGCGGUAGCAAUAUCGCUCUGGCGGUGGCGCCCGGGUGAGUAACACGUAGGUAAUCUGCCUCCAGGUCUGCCAUAACUCCGUGAAACCGCGGCUAAUAACAGCUGAUGCUGCGGCUCGACAUCGAGUCCGUUGUUAAAGCUAUGGUGUCUGAAGAUGAGCCUGGGUCUGAUUAGCUAGUUGGCGGGGUAACGGCCCACCAAGGCAACGAUCAGGAGAUGGUCUGAGAGGAUGAUCAGGCACACUGGAACUGAGACACGGUCCAGACUCCUACGGGAGGCAGAAGUAAGGGAUAUGGGUGAAUGGGGGAAAGCGUGAAGCAGCAACACCGCGGGAGGGACGAAGAGCGUUGGCUUGUAAAACUCUGUAGUGAGAGAAAAAAAUCCCAAUCUGUGGGACAUGAUGGUAUCUCAAAAGUAAGCCCCGGCUAACUACGUG
This 481-nucleotide ribosomal RNA is filed under the name uncultured bacterium. RNAcentral describes it as "partial 16S ribosomal RNA". It matches the Rfam family "Bacterial small subunit ribosomal RNA", at positions 28 to 507 of the family's 1533-position model. The record is from RNAcentral.